Molecule: non-coding RNA, 1064 nt
Organism: Cinara cedri
Lineage: Eukaryota; Metazoa; Arthropoda; Insecta; Hemiptera; Aphididae
Source: the annotation of a GenBank genome assembly
GUACACCCCAGUGUGAUAUAUAGGUACUGAAGAUUAGUGUUGUUAUAUAUAUUUUUGACAUUAAGGUUUGUAAUCACAUAAAUGAAUAUCGAUUAGACUAACUCGUCGUAACUGUGAGUAUAUGAUUACACAAGAGUUCACCCUGAAGUGAUCAUAAAAUGUGUCGUUAAGUCUUUUGGUGCAAUUCUUUUAUGUUAUUAUUAUUAUAAAUUAUUUACUCACUCUGAAAUUACAGUAAAUUUUCUUAUCUGAAUGGUAUAUGUCGUGUUUAAAGAUUUAGUAUAUUUUUGAAAAUCGAUUAUUGUUUAUUGUUUUUUUUUUUUUUUUUGCUUUGGAGUGACUUGUAUGUUUCAUCGAAGAAUAGACAACAAUAAACAAUUUGAAUGGUAAUGUAUGAAAUCAAACAUUGUCGUACAUUGUAACGUGAUUUUUUGAUCCGUACAGACUUAUUUGCUAUCAUAUUUGGUAACUUUUUUUUUCAGUUUAACCAAUAGCAAUCAAUGGUCUGUUAUAACAAAACGUUGCCACUUCUGCAAUCGUUUAUUGAACGUAAAAAGUCGAAUAUUUAAACACAUUUACAAUAAUUAUUCAAACAGUGUGCUCGUUGUACAGGAUGUGGGCCAAUCUCUCAUUAAAUCCCCGUACAUAAUGUUAUGGUUAACUAAAAAUUUAAUAGUCACCCCACGUCAAUGUCAUGGUAUUCGCGACCCGAUUCACGGAAUCCACGGGUCUGAAAUCCUUAUCCAGUAGCCGGGAGCCGGCUGGUUUAACCCUCGGAUUCCUUGUUCCUCUAAUCUUGUUCGUUGCGACGCUGUAUGUAAUCCGCCGUAGAGUAAAAAGACUGUGAGUCAAAUCAGCUGAGAGUUGAUACCUGUCGCUUUCGGAGUUCUGGGAUGGAAUGGCCGUUGGAAAACAAAACAAGUCCUGGACGUCACGUUAUAACAUCAAAGAUAUCCAAGUUGUAUUUAUUUUGAGUUGAAACUCAGUAAUUUAUGAAACACAGUCAUUUUUAUAGUUAUUUAGUCAUGUCAUUGUUAAAAAUUUAAACAAAAUCUGAAUUUGUU